CUACGUGCCAGCAGCCGCGGUAAUACGUAGGGUGCGAGCGUUAAUCGGAAUUACUGGGCGUAAAGCGGGCGCAGACGGUUACUUAAGCAGGAUGUGAAAUCCCCGGGCUCAACCUGGGAAUUGCGUUCUGAACUGGGUGGCUAGAGUGUGUCAGAGGGGGGUAGAAUUCCACGUGUAGCAGUGAAAUGCGUAGAGAUGUGGAGGAAUACCGAUGGCGAAGGCAGCCCCCUGGGAUGGCACUGACGUUCAUGCCCGAAAGCGUGGGUAGCAAACAGGAUUAGAUACCCUGGUAGUCCACGUCCUAAACGAUGUCGAUUAGCUGUUGGGCAACUUGAUUGCUUGGUAGCGAAGCUAACGCGUGAAAUCGACCGCCUGGGGAGUACGGUCGCAAGAUUAAAACUCAAAGGAAUUGACGGGGACCCGCACAAGCGGUGGAUGAUGUGGAUUAAUUCGAUGCACGCGAAGAACCUUACCUGGUCUUGACAU
This 486-nucleotide ribosomal RNA is filed under the name uncultured bacterium. RNAcentral describes it as "bacterial SSU rRNA". It matches the Rfam family "Bacterial small subunit ribosomal RNA", at positions 501 to 987 of the family's 1533-position model. The record is from RNAcentral.